GACGAACGCUGGCGGCGUGCCUAACACAUGCAAGUCGAGCGGAGAUAAGCGGAUGGUAACUGAAGUUUGUCUUAGCGGCGGACGGGUGAGUAACACGUGGGCAACCUGCCUUGGAGUGGGGGAUAACACCGGGAAAUCGGUGCUAAUACCGCAUAACAUACACAUACUGCAUGGUGAGUGUAUCAAAGGAGCAAUCCGCUUUAAGAUGGGCCCGCGGCUGAUUAGCUAGUUGGUAAGGUAACGGCUUACCAAGGCGACGAUCAGUAGCCGACCUGAGAGGGUGACCGGCCACACUGGAACUGAGACACGGUCCAGACUCCUACGGGAGGCAGCAGUGGGGAAUAUUGCGCAAUGGGGGAAACCCUGACGCAGCAACGCCGCGUGGAGGAAGAAGGUCUUCGGAUUGUAAACUCCUGUCUUCUGGGACGAAGUAUGACGGUACCAGAGGAGGAAGCCACGGGCUAACUACGUGCCAGCAGCCGCGGUAAAACGUGCGUG
RNAcentral lists this ribosomal RNA (498 nucleotides) under uncultured bacterium. RNAcentral describes it as "bacterial SSU rRNA". It matches the Rfam family "Bacterial small subunit ribosomal RNA", at positions 28 to 533 of the family's 1533-position model. The record is from RNAcentral.